AAUGAACGCUGGCGGCGUGCCUAACACAUGCAAGUCGGAUGUGCCGCAAGGUGCAUGGCAGACGGGUGAGUAACGCGUAGGGAAUCUACCUUUUUGUGGGGAAUAACGCUCCGAAAGGAGUGGUAAUACCGCAUGAGACCGUGGCCUGGGAUGGUUACGGUGAAACCUGGGGACCGCAAGGCCUGGGGCAAAAAGAGGAUCCUGCGUCUGAUUAGCUAGUUGGCGGGGUAAUGGCCCACCAAGGCGACGAUCAGUAGCCGGCCUGAGAGGGUGAUCGGCCACACUGGAACUGAGACACGGUCCAGACUCCUACGGGAGGCAGCAGUGGGGAAUUUUGCGCAAUGGACGAAAGUCUGACGCAGCAACGCCGCGUGGGUGAUGAAGGUCUUCGGACUGUAAAACCCUGUCGUCAGGGACGAAGGUGGCAGUGUUAAUAGCGCUGUUACUUGACGGUACCUGGAGAGGAAGCCCCGGCUAACUCUGUGCCAGCAGCCGCGG
Molecule: ribosomal RNA, 498 nt
Filed under: uncultured bacterium
Lineage: Bacteria
Description: bacterial SSU rRNA
Rfam family: Bacterial small subunit ribosomal RNA
Source: RNAcentral